UGCAGUCGACGAACUCUGGUAUUGAUUGGUGCUUGCAUCAUGAUUUACAUUUGAGUGAGUGGCGAACUGGUGAGUAACACGUGGGAAACCUGCCCAGAAGCGGGGGAUAACACCUGGAAACAGAUGCUAAUACCGCAUAACAACUUGGACCGCAUGGUCCGAGCUUGAAAGAUGGCUUCGGCUAUCACUUUUGGAUGGUCCCGCGGCGUAUUAGCUAGAUGGUGGGGUAACGGCUCACCAUGGCAAUGAUACGUAGCCGACCUGAGAGGGUAAUCGGCCACAUUGGGACUGAGACACGGCCCAAACUCCUACGGGAGGCAGCAGUAGGGAAUCUUCCACAAUGGACGAAAGUCUGAUGGAGCAACGCCGCGUGAGUGAAGAAGGGUUUCGGCUCGUAAAACUCUGUUGUUAAAGAAGAACAUAUCUGAGAGUAACUGUUCAGGUAUUGACGGUAUUUAACCAGAAAGCCACGGCUAACUACGUGCCAGCAGCCGGCGGU
RNAcentral lists this ribosomal RNA (499 nucleotides) under Lactiplantibacillus plantarum. RNAcentral describes it as "bacterial SSU rRNA". It matches the Rfam family "Bacterial small subunit ribosomal RNA", at positions 56 to 521 of the family's 1533-position model. Lineage: Bacteria; Bacillati; Bacillota; Bacilli; Lactobacillales; Lactobacillaceae. The record is from RNAcentral.